CAAUUUAGGGAUAGAGAUAUUGUUCAGUGGUGAUGAUAAGAUAUACUAGUAUAUUAUAACUCUUUUUAACUAGCCAAUAACUUACAUUUAGGGAUUAUGUACACAUCUAGAUUGGAUUAGUUUAUUUUUCAGGCUCUGUUCUAAGUGAAUAAUUUAAAUAAUAGAGGACCAUUCAGCAUAAUUACUAUCCAUAACAGUUCUUCAAUAUCUUAAUUCAUGUGCCAUUCUUGUCUAUGAAUUUUAGUUUUGCAUAUGUUUUUUUUUUUGCCCAAAGAGCUGAAAAGCUCAGGCUUUAGAGUUAGACACACCUAGCUUUUGGGAACAGCUGUGCAACUUUGGCAGCAUGGUAACCUUGGGCAAGUUCGAUCUUCUCUGCCUCUCAGUGUCCUCAUCUGUCUUAAAACUAUACCUCUUCCUCCCCUCACAGGAUAAUUGUAUAAAUUAUUUUGUACUGUAUUUGGUACACAAUUGACACCUAGUAAAUGGUAAGAGUCAUAAUUAGGCUUUUAUAUUUUAAACUGUCAAAUCUUUGACACAUUGUGGGCCAGUGGUUCUUUCAACACAGUAAUAAAAUGAAGAGGGAUGCAGCAGCACACUUUGAUUUAAAGUGAUGGGAAGAUAAUGUGUAAUUAAAAUAGACAAUAAUGGAGAGAGAAACUUGGUAGUUCUCUGAUUAGGCUGGGCCUGAUGUAAAUAAGUGCCACACUUAUUUUACCAGCUUGGUACAGAUUCUAAAGCUCGAUGAAGUGGGAAUAAUUAUGAAAUACAGGGGUUAGUUUGACUGAGCAAUCCCACUCUAGGGCAUAUGACCGGAUAAAACUUUCCUUAAAAAAGACACAUGCAUGCUCAUGUUCAUUGCAGCACUAUUCACAAUAGCCAAGACAAUUUUUUUCCUACUAUACAGCAUUGUGACCCAGUUACACAUAUAUAUAUGCAUUCUUCUUUCUCCCAUUAUCAUGUCUGGUCACUUAUGAUGGAGCAUGAUAAUUAUUAGGAGUUUCGAAUUUUUCUUUUCUUUGCUGGAGAAAUCAAGAGACUUUUAACACCUUGCUAAAUACUCUGUAAACUCAGCUUCCAAUGGGGUUUUAGGAGAGUAGAAAUGAUUUUUCUUUUUAUUAGUUCUUUGAAUAUGUUUCCAGUAAAAAAUAUUAUUAAUAAAAUAAAUAUCGUACAUGCAUAUAGGUAUAUGUGUACUUCUAACAGCCUCCUACCAGAAUUCCAAAGAGUAUAUCUUGGCAACUAUGGUAGAUAGCAUGUGAUUAUACUUUUACUAAAGCAAAAAAUUUGACUAAAUCUCAUUUGAGAGAGUACAUUACAGUAAAAUUUCUCUUAAAACUACUUGUUUGACAGAAUAAAUAUUUUUUUAAAAUUUCUGUUGAUAGUGAAAUAAAUUAAAUAGGAAGGAAUUUGAAAAUAAAGGUAAACAUUCUAGAAAACAACCAUGUUUUUUCUUUAGUGAAUAUAAUUUUCAUUGAAGGUAGAUAUUCCUAUUACCUGAAUGAUAGUCACAUCUCCAUAUAUCAGAACUUUAAUGUUUACUUCUCCAUCAUAUCUUUUGAGUCCCUUCUCUUUUAUGAAACUGAAAUAAAAAUAACCUGUAGGACUCUUUCCUUCUUAAAUCAAUAUAUUUGUAAAUAGCCAUUUUCUUAUUAAUAGCACAUUCACUUUUAAAGUAAAAUUUUAUUAAUUUCUGACUAUAUAAAGAAAUAAAUAUCAUUAAGAAAAAUAUACUGAAGGAAAGGAAAAUCACUAAUUACCUCAUUGUGUAAAAUAUUAACAAUGCUCAUUGAUACCCUAUAAUUACUGUACUCAAAAUUAUGUGUUAAUGAAUCAAUAUGUUUUGCAUGUUUUCUUUCAGGAGUUUCUCAAUAGGAGAUAAUAAUAACAGUAAUAAUAAUAAUGUUAAAUUGGAAUCAAGGCAAAUAGAUGUCUUUGAAUUCUUCUUUUGGGUCUUAUUUUUUUUUGCUUAAUUUAGUUUCAAGUAUGUUUCUAACAACUAAAAAUUUAUCAAAAAUAUAAUUUAAUUACCAAAAAUUAUUCCCAGCAAUGAUUUUUGACAAAACUUAUUUACUCAUACUCUUAUUUUCAGGCAUUCAAUUCUAAUAUUUCCUUUUUUUAGAAUAUAUAAUGUCACAGUGAAAACCUUUAAAUAUAAGUGAUUAUCUGCACCUUAGGUCUGUUUAGUUUCCAACUCCUAGUGUUUGAAAAAACCACAUUUAAUAAUUUUCUAUGAAUCUAAGUAAAGUACAAGAAAUUGAGUAUAUCCUUUAACAAUCAACCUAGUCAAAAUUAUAAGUAAUGAUUUCCUCUUAUAAGCAGUCAUAGAUUUCAAUCAUGUCCUAGUUACAAAACAAAGGAAUGGUAGUUAAGGCUUAUGUAAUACAUUCUAAAAAUCAUUUUAAUUCUCAUAAUAUAAAGGGUAUAUUUAAAAAUAGUCAUGAAGGACAGAUUAAUAGAUAUUUUAUUUUAUUCCCCAGUCAGUAUGGUUACAUUUUAACACCUGCUGUUCACAAAGUUCAAUAGAUAGUUAAUAUAUAGCAAGAAUUCCAAAUGAGUUUUGAGAAAUCUGUUUUGAGGGGAUUAGAGAAAAGUUCACAUCUGACUUACUAAUGAGUUGAUUUUAGUUAAUGUGAAAUUCUGGUUGAAUGUAAAUUAAUUUAUCACCUACUCUAUGAGUUGCAAACAAAUUCUUCUCCUUUUUGUUCUGUAAUUUGUCUAUGUAAUAUUGAAACUAUUCAAUGAUUUAGCAGAAAAUAGGCAUAUUUAAUCACUUUAAUUUCUCCAGCCAAAAUUAUUGCAGUCAAUUAACUCAAUCAACAAUUUUAUCCUCCAAUAUGCCAUGCACUUUGGGCCACUUGACUGCUCCUGGAAUUUUAUGGACAAUCUACUAAGACAAAUAAAGGAUUUAAAAGUGCACAUCACAAUUCUAAUGUGAAAUUUUGCAUAUUAUAAAUUUUCUAAUCAAAAUAUUCAGUUAUCAGGAACAUAAAGUAGAAGGUAAAAGCAAUUUAAAGUCAGACCCAAAGUCAUCCUCUUAUCUUUUUACAUUACAUAUAAUGUAAAAGCAAGGUAGUUUUAUUUAAUAUGAAACAUUUUUAUAAAACAAAGUAAUUAUUUCAUUCUAUUACAUUACUUUUCAAGGAAUUCAAUCUAAUGCAAUUCUAUUAAGUGUAUUGCUUACACAUAAUGUAUUUUAAGAUUACAAGGUAGACUAAUACAUUGUAAUUAUAAGUCAGAGUACCUUAGAGUUAAUGUAUUUCUGUGGCUUUUGGAGAUAUACUUCUAUAUUCAUUAGUUAUAAAAGUAAAAAAGAUGGCAGAGUGCAUGAACUUGUGCCUAAGUUUGAAGGAGUUAUAAGAUAUUACUAGGUAUGUUUCUCAGAUCCAGAAAAGGUCCCAUUUUUGUUCUAGUCAUAAUUAGGAAACUUGGUUGUUAAUCAAGUUUGUAAAAACCCAGAGAUGAAAUAUGCCUCAUUAUUCAGCCUCUCAUUCCCCUUCAGAGCAUUCAGUCCUUACCCUCUUCUGUCUGUAAAAUUAAUAGCCUUUUGUAGGGACUCUUCUUUUGUAGGGACUCUUAUAAAUCUAAAAUUCUAUUGAUUUUCUUUACAAAAACAUAGUGAAUAUAAAAACCUAGAUGAAGAGGCAGCUGGGGGCAGUGAGUACAACCUCCAGGUUAUGGUCAGAAUCUUGCUCUGCUAUUGAAAAAUUAUUUGACCUUCAGUUUCAGUGUGAUUACUUUUAAAUGACAGUCUCAAGAUCUCUGAGUUUUACUUUUUGCCUAAGAACCACAAAAAUGAUAUAGGGACUUUGAUUCUCUUAGGCAAAAAAAAAAAAAAAAAAAAAGGGAGAUAUGUGAAUUCUGUGAAUUGGUAUUGCGUAACAUGGUUUCCAUCACUUGCUAUUAAUUUACUUUUUUUUUUUUUGGUCUUCUGUCUUUUUUAGGGCUGCACCCAUGACAUAUGGAGAUUGCCAGGCUAGGGGCUGAAUUGGAGCUGCAGCUGCUGGCCUAAACCACAGCCACAGCAACACUGGAUCCAAGUUGCUCUUGUGACCUACACCAGAGCUCACGGCAAUGCUGGAUCCUUAACCCACUGAGCGGGGCCAGGGGUCAAACACUCAUCCUCAUGGAUAGUAGCUGGGUUUGUUAACCACUGAGCCACAAUGGGAAUUCCUAAUUUGCUUUCUGAUAGCCCAUGUUUUUAAACAUUAGACAUUGUUUUCUUUUGUAUUGGGAUUUUGGGAUUAACAUUGCACACUACUAUAUAUGGAAUGAAUGGUCAAUAGGGACCUUCUCUUAAAUACAGGGCUACUCAAUAUUCUGUGAUAAUCUAUAUGGUAUAAGAAUCUGGAAAAAUGGAUAUGUGUUCAUGUAUAAUGGAAUCACUUUGUCGUACAGCAGAAAUUAACACACCAGUGUAAAUCAACAAUACUUCAAUAAAAUUUUUAAAAAUUAAAAAUAUAUUGUUCUCAAUGUAUAAAAAUAUAACCAUAAUUCUUACUAAUAGUCAAGUAUUUCAUAUAUUUUACUUGCUUUCAUUGUUUUAUUCCUUUGAUUAUUUUAUUGAAGUAUAGUUGAUUUACAAUGUUGUCUUAAUUUUGCUGAACAGCAAAGUGAUUCAACUUUAUAUAUUAUUUUCCAUUAUACAGUUACAAGAUUUUUAAUAUCAUUCCUUGUGCUAUACAGUAGAAACUUGUUAUUGCUCCUUGGAUUUUUUUUUUUAAUUAUAGUUGAGGGAGUUCUCAUUGUGUCUCAGUAGUUAACAAACCCACUUGGAUCCAUGAGGAUGCAGGUUCAAUCCCUGGCCUUGCUCAGUGGUUAAAGGAUCCAGUGUUGCUGUGAGCUGUGGUGCAGGUUACAGAUGCUGCUCAGAUACCACAUUGCUGUGGCAUAGGCCGGCAGCUGUAGCUCUGAUUCGACCCCUAGCCUGGGAACUUCUAUAUGCAACAGGUGCAUGGAACCCUAAAAAA
RNAcentral lists this long non-coding RNA (4967 nucleotides) under Sus scrofa (pig). RNAcentral describes it as "lncRNA (ENSSSCG00035020175.1)". Lineage: Eukaryota; Metazoa; Chordata; Mammalia; Artiodactyla; Suidae. The record is from RNAcentral.